This 1756-nucleotide long non-coding RNA is filed under the name Numida meleagris (helmeted guineafowl). Its description in RNAcentral is "lncRNA (ENSNMEG00000005659.1)". The record is from RNAcentral. Lineage: Eukaryota; Metazoa; Chordata; Aves; Galliformes; Numididae.
AUGGCCAGUCUUUCCCCUAGCUGGGCUGUGACCCUGGAAAAGCCCUCAGUCCCUGGAGGGGAGGAGCAGGAGCCAGUAGCAAGAGGAGUCAUUGGAUUGAGGGCAGAGAGAGUGUUGGUGUCAGACCUACACUGUGCUGCCAAAUGGAUGUUCCAGGGCUGUGAGCACUCUGUUCUGUGCCUUUGCUCAUCCUUAACACACAGGGCAGCAGUUAAGGUUUGUUUCAAGGUGGUGUGGAUGAAGGAGGCAGGGAUGAAAUUGGGUUCAAUCUGCUGGCUGGAGAAACAGCAGGAGGGGAAGGAGAAGGUCACCAGUUUGUCCCUGUGGGACUUGGCCCAUGAAGGACAGUGCAGCCACCAGCUCCCGUGGUCUUUCCGUGGGACUUUCAGCUCCCAUAGGCACCUUGAAACAUCCCAUUGGCCUUUUGUCUUCAUUGGGCCACAGUCUCUGAUUGCUGCUCAAAUGAGUAGGAAGGCAGGAUGGCAGCGAGCCAAGAAGUUGCAAGAAGAGAAUGGAAGACAUGAAGAUUUUGGUAAGGUGUAUCUCCCAGGCAUGGCUUGCCCCUGUCUAGAUGGUGUUUUGGCACCAGGGAUAUCAAGGGGAAUGCUGUAUUCUAAAGAAACAUAUCCUUUUUUCUUCUUCUUCUUUUAUUUUUUUCUUUUCUGGUCAAUAAAACUGCAGUUUGACUUUAGGGUGAAGAUUUGGAUCAAUUCUCAUUUUCUACAAAAUGAUUCACUCUUAUACACCGAGGAAUAGAAUUGAAAAUGUAAUCUAUCUUGUUGAGAGGUAGAGUCAGGGUCAUGAAAAUUAACCCCCAAGUGUUGCUUAGCAUGCCUUUUCACAUGCCAGCAAAUAGCAGAGAACAUCUUUGGAUUUCUAAACAGUAAUUUAGAAAAAAAAAUACAGUCAGUCUUGGCUAGGCAGCCGAAGGGAUCCUGCCACAAAAUCACUUUUCCUUGCAAUGCAAAGUAACCGAGAAAAACCCUUCUCAGAAGUGAUUCACAAGCAAAUACUAUUGCCAGGAAAAACUGAGAUCUGGAUGAAUGUGUCUCACUACAAUAUGUUUUAAAGCAAGGAAAUGAAUGGUAUUCAAAAAAUUUUUGGUGGCAAAUAGCAGGAGUUCAUACCUUGGGAAUGAGGCUGGGUCACAUCUUAGCAUGCUGGCUCCAGAACUUGGCUGACUUCUAUGCUCAUCACCGAACAACAUAGAAGUGGUCAGCUCUAAAUUACUAUUAUCUUACUCACCAUCUGGAUUCCUACAGCACUUGAGAGAGUCCCAGCUGUGGAUUGGGAUAUCACUGUAAAAACAGUAUAACAAGUGAUCCCAACAGUUUCCAACCUAAGGAAGAAAAGUUUUAGAAUAGGAGCGAUAGAUGACUGUGGAACGACAAAGUGGUGUCCAUCAACAUGAUGGCCAUGAAAUACAUCCAUCAGCACCUUAGCAACAAAGGCAAGUUCAAAGGAGGGCGAUGAAAGCUCUCUGCAGAGAGUCUCUAGGUGUCCACCAGAAAACACAAAGGUGCUGCUUUGAAAAUCAUGCCAGUGAGAAGCAGAGGAUGGUGUAGGGCAGGUUUGAGAAAGGAAUUAGCGAUGACAAGGAACAGGCCGCAGAGGCCUUGAAAAUUCAGUCUGACUGCUAUAACUGAUGCAAUUAAUAGAAAGAUAAAACCACACAGGUGUGCCAGGCAGAGUGAAGGUCCGGGAAAAUGCUGUGAACAGAUUUGUGUUUGCCAAGGCUAGGGAGAAGGUUGCUGCA